GACGAACGCUGGCGGCGUGCCUAAUACAUGCAAGUCGAACGCAUUUUCUUUCACCGUAGCUUGCUACACCGAAAGAAAAUGAGUGGCGAACGGGUGAGUAACACGUGGGUAACCUGCCCAUCAGCGGGGGAUAACACUUGGAAACAGGUGCUAAUACCGCAUAAUUCCAUUUACCGCAUGGUAAGUGGAUGAAAGGCGCUUUUGCGUCACUGAUGGAUGGACCCGCGGUGCAUUAGCUAGUUGGUGGGGUAACGGCCUACCAAGGCUGCGAUGCAUAGCCGACCUGAGAGGGUGAUCGGCCACACUGGGACUGAGACACGGCCCAGACUCCUACGGGAGGCAGCAGUAGGGAAUCUUCGGCAAUGGACGCAAGUCUGACCGAGCAACGCCGCGUGAGUGAAGAAGGUUUUCGGAUCGUAAAACUCUGCUGUUAGAGAAGAACAAGGAUGAGAGUGGAAAGUUCAUCCCUUGACGGUAUCUAACCAGAAAGCCACGGCUAACUACGUG
Molecule: ribosomal RNA, 507 nt
Filed under: uncultured bacterium
Lineage: Bacteria
Description: partial 16S ribosomal RNA
Rfam family: Bacterial small subunit ribosomal RNA
Source: RNAcentral